GGGGAUUUAGCUCAGUGGUAGAGCACUUGCUUAGCAAGUGCAAGGCCCUGGGUUCGGUCCCCAGCUCCG
RNAcentral lists this transfer RNA (69 nucleotides) under Rattus norvegicus (Norway rat). It matches the Rfam family "tRNA". From Rfam's summary of the family: Transfer RNA (tRNA) molecules are approximately 80 nucleotides in length. Their secondary structure includes four short double-helical elements and three loops (D, anti-codon, and T loops). Further hydrogen bonds mediate the characteristic L-shaped molecular structure. tRNAs have two regions of fundamental functional importance: the anti-codon, which is responsible for specific mRNA codon recognition, and the 3' end, to which the tRNAs corresponding amino acid is attached (by aminoacyl-tRNA synthetases). tRNAs cope with the degeneracy of the genetic code in two manners: having more than one tRNA (with a specific anti-codon) for a particular amino acid; and 'wobble' base-pairing, i.e. permitting non-standard base-pairing at the 3rd anti-codon position. The record is from Rfam by way of RNAcentral. Lineage: Eukaryota; Metazoa; Chordata; Mammalia; Rodentia; Muridae.